AAGUGAGUAGCCCAUUGGCUGCGCAUGCGUUGGCUUACAAUCCAUGAUGGUGGCCAUGACACAUGCGCAGUUCGGCACGAGACAACCGUUGGACCCGAUGACGUGUGUCUGCGCAUGAGCUUAGAUAGCCAACGUCGCCAUGACAUCGCCUACGAGCGUGAUCGGGGAUUUCUAUUGGAGAAGCAUGUUCUGCCUAUCUCCAUUCUGUUGGCACUGGACUGUGAAGGUGUCGUUACUGGAGCUGCAAUGACAACAAUGUAGAUGCAUAUUUGAGAUGCAAAUGAAUAAUGAAAAUGUGAUGAUAGAGCACAGAUCUGUCUGUGUGUGUGUGUGUCUAAAUGAGGACUAAUUGUUGAUUUGAGUAUUCAGCCAGGACUCACGAACAACUGUCAACAACACUGAAUCAUAAUCAGGGCUGGAUGACUCCUUAAAUAACUCUCAUCAAAGUCACAUUGACUGUAAUGAAGCAUCAACAUUAGGGAUAAACCAUUGGGAACAGACAGCUAGACCUUGUCCAAUGCAACAACAAAAAGCUGGCAUCCUGCAAAACAUGUAGGCUAUUGUAUGUGACUGUAGGAAAAACGCAUACGAGUUUAGGUCUAGAGUGACAUCCUUUGUAGCUAUUAUUCAUUGAAAAUAUUUUGCUGUCAACUUUCAUUUCAUCAAGAGUUGUAGGUAGAUUUCGAUGGCUAACCCAUUUGUACAAGUCCUGUUGGAAAAUGUAUGUGGGUUUUAACCCACAAGAUCGAUUGCUUUCAGAUACAAAAUGUGUAUGUUUCACAGCUUACAGCCAGGCCAAUGUACUACUCCUCCAGCCCUACUCAUAGUGCUGCGUCUUGUGGACUGGCGACGUGUGUAUGUUUCUGCAGGUGAGAACAAGGUAAAGGACGAGGCUUGUAAAAUCACUCCAAACAAAAAUACAUAUGCUUGUAUCACUAAUGGUAGUUACAUUCAAAUGGGACGGGAUGGGACAAGCUGGUACAUUCAAAUGGGAUGGGAUGGGACAAGCUGGUACAUUCAAAUGGAUGGGAUGGGACAAGCUGGUACAUUCAAAUGGGGCGGGAUGGGACAAGCUGGUACAUUCAAAUGGGAUGGGAUGGGACAAGCUGGUACAUUCAAAUGGGGCGGGAUGGGACAAGCUGGUACAUUCAAAUGGGGCGGGAUGGGACAAGCUGGUACAUUCGAAUGGGAUGGGAUGGGACAAGCUGGUACAUUCAAAUGGGAUGGGAU
Long non-coding RNA from Salmo salar (Atlantic salmon), 1230 nucleotides. RefSeq lists it as uncharacterized. The record is from RefSeq and is a predicted model, not a curated record. NCBI's taxonomy places the organism in Eukaryota, Metazoa, Chordata, Actinopteri, Salmoniformes, Salmonidae.